AGUGAACGCUGGCGGUAGGCCUAACACAUGCAAGUCGAACGGCAGCACAGUAAGAGCUUGCUCUUACGGGUGGCGAGUGGCGGACGGGUUAGGAAUACAUCUGACUCUACUUUUUCGUGGGGGAUAACGUAGGGAAACUUACGCUAAUACCGCAUACGACCUACGGGUGAAAGCAGGUGAUCUUCGGCCCUUGCGCGAUUGACUGAGCCGAUGUCGGAUUAGCUAGUUGGCGGGGUAAAGGCCCACCAAGGCGACGAUCCGUAGCUGGUCUGAGAGGAUGAUCAGCCACACUGGAACUGAGACACGGUCCAGACUCCUACGGGAGGCAGCAGUGGGGAAUAUUGGACAAUGGGCGCAAGCCUGAUCCAGCCAUACCGCGUGGGUGAAGAAGGCCUUCGGGUUGUAAAGCACUUUUGUUGGGAAAGAAAAGCAGCAGGUUAAUACCCCGCUGUUCUGACGGUACCCAAAGAAUAAGCACCGGCUAACUUCGUG
Molecule: ribosomal RNA, 492 nt
Filed under: uncultured bacterium
Lineage: Bacteria
Description: partial 16S ribosomal RNA
Rfam family: Bacterial small subunit ribosomal RNA
Source: RNAcentral